GGAGGUAUAGUUCAGUGGCAGAACGCAUGCUUAGUAUGCACAAGGUCCUGGGUUCAAUCCCCAAUAUCUCCA
RNAcentral lists this transfer RNA (72 nucleotides) under Camelus bactrianus (Bactrian camel). It matches the Rfam family "tRNA". From Rfam's summary of the family: Transfer RNA (tRNA) molecules are approximately 80 nucleotides in length. Their secondary structure includes four short double-helical elements and three loops (D, anti-codon, and T loops). Further hydrogen bonds mediate the characteristic L-shaped molecular structure. tRNAs have two regions of fundamental functional importance: the anti-codon, which is responsible for specific mRNA codon recognition, and the 3' end, to which the tRNAs corresponding amino acid is attached (by aminoacyl-tRNA synthetases). tRNAs cope with the degeneracy of the genetic code in two manners: having more than one tRNA (with a specific anti-codon) for a particular amino acid; and 'wobble' base-pairing, i.e. permitting non-standard base-pairing at the 3rd anti-codon position. The record is from Rfam by way of RNAcentral. Lineage: Eukaryota; Metazoa; Chordata; Mammalia; Artiodactyla; Camelidae. RNAcentral also lists the same sequence under 1 other name.